AACAGAAGUGGAGGAUGAAGAUGUAACUGGCUGCCUGGACAACUACUGCAAUGGGAGGCUGUGCUAGAGCUGUUCAGAAGCCAGUGAUUUGGGUUGCCUUAACUUUGAAAGCUGCCUCUGCAGUGAAUGUAUGGUCUGGUGACAGCUGAGUGCGGUGCUAUGGUGACCAGGAGCUCUCAGCGAGGCACCACAGGGCAGGAGGCUGACAGUCACCUACAGACACGCUCCCUCAAGAACACAUGCAUGCAACAUGCAGCUGCAAUGGAAAUGGAAGUACACCUGUGCGCAUCACCACUGGCUGCUGCAAGCUGUUUGAGCUCCUGUGACACUGAUGAGGGGAUGUCUCUGUGCCUUCAUCACCAAGCUAUUAAAGGCAAGCUUUUUUUUUCUUUCUAUUGUAAUCCCAACAAAACACCUAAAGUAGCCUCAAUAACAAUGAAGUUAGACAUUCAGUACAUCGGAAUAUUUUAUUUUCACUUUACAUGCGGUGUUAAAAACCCAAAGAACGUAUUAUUUACACAUCCACAAUACAAGUUUACAAGAUAUCUAUACAUGUUAAAGUACUCUAUAGUAUAGAGCAGCUUCAUUUAAGGGUUACUUUUUUAUGCCGUACCAUUAAAAAAGAUACAAUCUGCGUUUACCUUUGCACAAAUGGAUAAAGCAUCUUUUAUUAUUAAAUUAACAGAAUAAAGACUAGGUUGAAUGUUAGAAAUUUCA
Molecule: long non-coding RNA, 717 nt
Filed under: Anas platyrhynchos platyrhynchos (common mallard)
Lineage: Eukaryota; Metazoa; Chordata; Aves; Anseriformes; Anatidae
Description: lncRNA (ENSAPLG00000024481.1)
Source: RNAcentral